Molecule: transfer RNA, 72 nt
Filed under: Podarcis lilfordi (Lilford's wall lizard)
Lineage: Eukaryota; Metazoa; Chordata; Lepidosauria; Squamata; Lacertidae
Description: tRNA.Asn
Rfam family: tRNA
About the family: Transfer RNA (tRNA) molecules are approximately 80 nucleotides in length.
Source: RNAcentral
UCCUGUGGCACAAUGGCUCAGUGCAUCUGGCUGUUAACCAGAAGGUUGGUGGUUUGAGCCCACUCAGGACAG